UACGUAGGGUGCGAGCGUUGCCCGGAUUUAUUGGGCGUAAAGGGCGCGUAGGCGGCCACGCACGUCCGUUGUGAAAUCGCCCGGCUCAACUGGGCGGGGUCGGCGGAUACGGCGUGGCUGGAGCAAGCUAGGGGGCAAUGGAAUUCCCGGUGUAGUGGUGGAAUGCGUAGAUAUCGGGAGGAACACCAGUGGCGAAGGCGGGUCUCUGGGCCGAUACUGACGCUGAGGAGCGAAAGCGUGGGGAGCGAACAGG
RNAcentral lists this ribosomal RNA (253 nucleotides) under uncultured bacterium. RNAcentral describes it as "partial 16S ribosomal RNA". It matches the Rfam family "Bacterial small subunit ribosomal RNA", at positions 524 to 776 of the family's 1533-position model. The record is from RNAcentral.